CAGGGACAGGUUGUUGCCAUUCGAGCCAAAAUGAGUUAUUUCUCAUUUCCUCUAUUGGGAACAAAUAUGUUACCAGAAUUGCUCUAAUACCACAUGUUGAAGGUGGAACUGCUCUGAAACCACCUUGUUGAAUCGAAAGGCGACGGAAGAAUUAAGAUUUAAUGGUGUAAUAUGAAAUUUGUAAGAUCACAACCAAUAAAUUAAGAUUAAAGUAAAGAAACAAAAAGAGAAUUAAGCAAAGGGACCGAUGUUUUAUUUAAUAACAAUAUGGAGAGAAUACAACUACAACAAUGAAACUUCAUAAAUCUAGAAAAAAGAGUCUAGUAUUUAUAGGGAAAAAUUAAUCCAUAGAAGUAGAGUUGUAUAUGAAACAAAAUGCCAAAAAUUUCCUUAUUUGGUCUCAUCAAGUCCAACACAAAUUUCAUCUUCCAAUAGCUUCUAAAUAGAAUUUUAACUAGAAUUUGUCAAUUAAACUUGAAUAGGAUUCCUCAAUAGCAUUCCAUUUAGAAUUCCUCUUGAUAUGUACUUCAAUUGGAACUCUACAAUUAUUUCAAUAAGAAAUUUGGGUUACACCCAAAUUGUAACAAUCUCCACCUUGACAUGAAUUCCACUGCAAUGAACAAAACUCCAAAAUCUCCCCACCUGAAAAAUAAAUCAACUGUAACGAAAUAAACUGAACUUUUCAACCAGAACCAAAACUCUCCAUUCCACAAAAAUAUUUUCCUCUGCAUAGCGUCCACAAUCGACACUUGAAACCUACUCCUAGGUUCCCAAAAUUUCACCUAAGAAUUACUGUUGACCAAACAGAGUCGAAGCACACUCUGUAAUAGAAACCACACAAAAUUCAUGAUCAAAAGGCUCCUUGCUAGAAUUGUUACCUUCAACAAUUCCGAAAACAUUACAGAACUGUCACCUUCAACGGAGGUAGCGUAUCAUGCACCAGUUUGCUAUCAAUUCGUAAUUAUGGAGAAUGCUUUUUUUGGUGUGUUCAAUAAAAAAAAAUGAGAAGUGAUACUAAGAGGAGUUUUUUUUUAAAUGUGUAAUUGAAAGUAGGAAAAAGUUAAGGAGAAAUGUGAUUCUUUUUUUUGGGGGGGGGGGGGGGGGGAGUGUUAAAGAUGAGUGUGAGAUAGAAGUGAUUCUCGAAUAAUCAAAAUCAAACAAGGACUAGAUAAAGAUUGUGAGAUAACAGAACAAUGGAUAUUUCCAUGAAUUUUUGUUCAAGAAUGGUGUCAUCUAUCCAGUAUGGCUUCUUUUGAUAAGAAUAAUAAAUGUAAUCAUGAGAUAGAUAUUAUGGAAACAACUUG
This 1304-nucleotide long non-coding RNA is filed under the name Olea europaea subsp. europaea. Lineage: Eukaryota; Viridiplantae; Streptophyta; Magnoliopsida; Lamiales; Oleaceae. The record is from RNAcentral.